AGCGAACGCUGGCGGCAGGCUUAACACAUGCAAGUCGAACGGGCGUAGCAAUACGUCAGUGGCAGACGGGUGAGUAACACGUGGGAACGUACCUCUUGGUUCGGAACAACACAGGGAAACUUGUGCUAAUACCGGAUAAGCCCUUACGGGGAAAGAUUUAUCGCCGAGAGAUCGGCCCGCGUCUGAUUAGCUAGUUGGUAGGGUAAUGGCCUACCAAGGCGACGAUCAGUAGCUGGUCUGAGAGGAUGAUCAGCCACAUUGGGACUGAGACACGGCCCAAACUCCUACGGGAGGCAGCAGUGGGGAAUAUUGGACAAUGGGGGCAACCCUGAUCCAGCCAUGCCGCGUGAGUGAUGAAGGCCCUAGGGUUGUAAAGCUCUUUUGUGCGGGAAGAUAAUGACGGUACCGCAAGAAUAAGCCCCGGCUAACUUCGUGCCAGCCGCCGCGGUAA
RNAcentral lists this ribosomal RNA (451 nucleotides) under uncultured bacterium. Its description in RNAcentral is "partial 16S ribosomal RNA". It matches the Rfam family "Bacterial small subunit ribosomal RNA", at positions 29 to 523 of the family's 1533-position model. The record is from RNAcentral.